RNAcentral lists this long non-coding RNA (672 nucleotides) under Mus pahari (shrew mouse). Its description in RNAcentral is "lncRNA (MGP_PahariEiJ_G0012567.1)". The record is from RNAcentral. Lineage: Eukaryota; Metazoa; Chordata; Mammalia; Rodentia; Muridae.
GAAACUGCACAAAAAAUGGAGCUGGGGGGUUCCCUGGUCCCCGAUGUUGGGGCGGGGAGCGCGGCGCCGAGGGAGGGGGCGGCGCAGACCAGCCAAGGGGACACCUGGUCGAGCGCAGCCGCCGCUCCGCUCGAGCCCUGCGCUCCAGUGCCCCCAGUGCCCCCACUGGCUGGAGAGCUCGCCCAGACCGGGGGUCUUCCUCCCUCGCUGACAGAUUCUAACUGUUAGAAGAGUACCAAUUCUGGAAAACAACCAAAGUUUCUUUGAAUGAAUGCCCACGUAAUGCAUUGGAAUAUAAUAAGAGAUUAAGGUUUAACAAUGUUAAAAUGAAGAUAUUACUAAAAUGGCCCUCUAAAUAGCCCAACAAUUAUUAUUUUGUAAGUAUUAGUUUUUAGCUCCUUCCUUCAUCAGUUACCCACCACCACUGCUACGAAGACUUGUGUUUGGUAUCUUAUUUCCAUAUAUCUGAUAAUUUUUCUAUUUAUUCUUGAAUAACUUAAAUUGCCCAUUAACUCUAUUCGUGUUUGGUAUUAAUUUAGAACAAGAAUGAUUUCAUUGCCUCAGGAAACUUUACUAGUGUGGAAAGUAUUUUAUAGAAAGACCCUGUUAUCUCCAAGUCUGAAAUCACAAUAUUAAAUCCUUUCUUUAAAGUUUACAAAUAAGCAAGUUUUU